GUGGGGAAUAUUGCGCAAUGGACGAAAGUCUGACGCAGCGACGCCGCGUGUGGGAUGAAGCUCUUCGGGGUGUAAACCACUGUUGCCAGGGAAGAAACUCUUGAUUCGUCAAGACUGACGGUACCUGGUGAGGAAGCACCGGCUAACUCUGUGCCAGCAGCCGCGGUAAUACAGAGGGUGCGAGCGUUGUCCGGAAUCACUGGGCGUAAAGGGCGCGUAGGUGGCGGGAUAAGUGUGUGGUGAAAGCUCGGGGCUCAACCCCGAGUCUGCCAUGCAGACUGUCUUGCUCGAGCGUAGUAGAGGCAGGUGGAAUUCCGGGUGUAGCGGUGGAAUGCGUAGAGAUCCGGAAGAACACCGGUGGCGAAGGCGGCCUGCUGGGCUACUGCUGACACUGAUGCGCGACAGCGUGGGGAGCAAACAGGAUUAGAAACCCUAGUAGUCC
Molecule: ribosomal RNA, 442 nt
Filed under: uncultured bacterium
Lineage: Bacteria
Description: bacterial SSU rRNA
Rfam family: Bacterial small subunit ribosomal RNA
Source: RNAcentral